GAAAUAGCUCAGCUUGGUAGAGCACUUGGUUUGGGACCAAGGGGUCGCAGGUUCAAAUCCUGUUUUCC
RNAcentral lists this transfer RNA (68 nucleotides) under chicken gut metagenome. It matches the Rfam family "tRNA". From Rfam's summary of the family: Transfer RNA (tRNA) molecules are approximately 80 nucleotides in length. Their secondary structure includes four short double-helical elements and three loops (D, anti-codon, and T loops). The record is from RNAcentral.